This 435-nucleotide small RNA is filed under the name Histoplasma capsulatum. RNAcentral's name for it is "hypothetical RNA". RNAcentral also lists the same sequence under 1 other name. Lineage: Eukaryota; Fungi; Ascomycota; Eurotiomycetes; Onygenales; Ajellomycetaceae. The record is from RNAcentral.
AGCAGCUACAGGGACAUCUUACCUACAGCCUCCCACCGUCAAGCUUCCAUUCCGCCUUCUGCUGCGAGCAUUCGCCCUUCUGCAACGUAUAUGCUUACUGUAGCAAGCUGAGACAUGUUGAAGCCAUAUUAUCAUUAUGAUGGAUUGGAGGGACCAAAACGUCUAUUCACUUAGCGAAAGGCGCAACCUCACUCGCUAAGACGCAAUUUCGCUUGAGAAGAACCAAUCUAAUAAGCAAUCUGAAAAUACUUCGAAUCGGACACUAGGUGAAGUAGAGGGUCGCCGCGUUCACAUGAUUAAACAGUGGACGUUGUGGGUAUUCUGUAUUCUGAUAAGUCACUCAGCCGAGGUAUUGAAUCUUACAGUCGAAAAAUUCAAUAUACGGCUGCUAUGAAUAAGCAUACUUGAUAGUUAAUGACUGAAGAUGAUGGCGGG